Molecule: long non-coding RNA, 1039 nt
Organism: Carassius gibelio (silver crucian carp)
Lineage: Eukaryota; Metazoa; Chordata; Actinopteri; Cypriniformes; Cyprinidae
Exons: 4
Source: RefSeq, a predicted model, not a curated record
UCAAUAAUUGUCUAACCAUGAGAUGUCGACCGAGUUUGGAGGCCCCUGUCUUAGCACAGUGAAAGUAUUUGAAGCUUUGUUUAUGAACAUGGCGGUGUGGUCAUACAAUGACUUUAAACCGGACACUACUCUGAGCUGUUCACAUUAUACAAAUGCUCCAGAUAUGUAAUCAGGUCCUCCCUUUUGGAAUGGUAAACAUGACACUAUUCAUCACUCACACAAAUAAAUCAUUUAAUAUUUUGAUAAUUGAAUUGGUUUUUGUGGUUCAAUUUUUUUUUUUUUGUAACACAUUGCACUUCAUGUGUUUACAGAUUUGUGCAGAAUUUGAGACAUACAGAAUUACCAUAGGCCCAUUAGAAUCAACAAUCUUUGCCAAACUUGUUCCGGACUGCAAAACUUACGAAGAUGUUUGCAUACUGAAGAAGAGUCCUUGGUUAAAUAAUGAAACCCUCUUGGUGCCCACUACACAGGCAGGGGUGUCCAGACCUGAUCUAAGAAAGCCAGUGUUCUGUGGAGUUCAGCUCUAACAUACUUGCCUGGAACUUCAGAAGAAAAAAACAACAAAGUUUAAAUUUUGUUGUUUUCAUCUUCAGACUAAUGAAAUUAAAGUAUCCAAUGAAGACCCUAGCAGUAUGGAGUAUAUGGAUACAGAGGUUGCCAGCAAUCAGGAGGUGAUCCAGAAGACUUGUGGGAAUCUAUUUGAAGCUGCAUCAUUGAAGACAGUCCAGCAGAAGUUGGAGUUUUAAAGGAUACAGUUCUUCAGGACCUAUAGCAGUUUAUAGUCUGCAAAACCAUGUUGCUGGGACUGAUAUAUGGACUGAACUUGAGCUACCCUCCUGAACUCAUUUGGAAUACUGAAGAAGUUAUUUCCAGUUAUUUCCAGUUCCUGUUCCUGGAAUAAGGUUUGAUUGGUUGCCCAUGAAUGCCAAUUAGAAUUUUAUUUGCUAUUUUGUGUAAUUUUGUAAUGUGGUUUAAACUGUAUUUUACUGUGUGUAAUUAUUUAUUGCUUGUUUAACAAAUACACUUUGAUCAUUUGUGA